RNAcentral lists this unclassified non-coding RNA (359 nucleotides) under Hevea brasiliensis (rubber tree). The record is from RNAcentral. Lineage: Eukaryota; Viridiplantae; Streptophyta; Magnoliopsida; Malpighiales; Euphorbiaceae.
UUAUCUCUCUGAUGAUGGCGGCUCAGACUUGACUUUCUAUGCUCUCCUGGAGGCCUCUCACUUUGCUAAGUAUUGGAUACCGUUUUGCAAAACAAACAACAUCGAGCCAAGGUCCCCUGAGACCUACUUUGCACGCAAUAGUAAUGAGCAACAGUUCACGAAUUAUCAAGAAUGGUCAGAUGUUAAGAAUCUAUAUGAAGAAAUGAAGGAACGGAUCGAAUCAACCAUGGAAAGAGGUAGCAUUUCGAAAGAAAUAAGGGAUAAACAUAAAGGAUUCUCAGAAUGGAACCAGAAUGUAACAAAGAACGAUCAUCAGCCUAUUGUGCAGAUUGUUAUUGAUGGAAGGGAUGAAACUGCUG